UCUCAUCGCAGGGGUCCUCUUCGAGUGGAGCAGGGUCAUCUGUGGUCGAAGAAUCCUCUCAGAGUGAAGUGAAGGGGGGGGCGGUUCAGGCGGUGCCCUCCGGGUCUGGUGCGGUGGCAGCUUGUCUGGUGGAGUCGGAGUACUGGAGGUGGCCCGUGAUGUGUUCCACGUAGAUGUCGCGGGACCAACGGAUAGUGUCGGACACCAUGAGGCAGCGCAUCAGCUUGGUGUAGCGGCGGGAGACGUGGCAGGCACGCAGGAUGCUCUCGUUGCUGGGAUCCCAGGCUCCAAGCAUUCCCACGAUGAAAUUAACUACAUUUUAAA
Long non-coding RNA from Gavialis gangeticus (Gharial), 324 nucleotides. RefSeq lists it as uncharacterized. The transcript is spliced from 3 exons. The record is from RefSeq and is a predicted model, not a curated record. Lineage: Eukaryota; Metazoa; Chordata; Crocodylia; Gavialidae.